Molecule: long non-coding RNA, 476 nt
Organism: Mandrillus leucophaeus (drill)
Lineage: Eukaryota; Metazoa; Chordata; Mammalia; Primates; Cercopithecidae
Exons: 2
Source: RefSeq, a predicted model, not a curated record
UCUGGGCAGUAGUAGGUCUGAUUGGAGCCAUUGUAUAGUGUCAGGAACAUACCAGGACACAGAGAAUAGUGUGCUAAGGAUUCAGAGAAGGUGGACCCUGCUGUGAUGCACAAAAAGGACCAUGCAAGAUAUGAUAAAGAUCUAUGUCACUGAAAUUUGGUUCUAUAUUUGUACCUCAGCUUCCUAGAAAUAAAAGAGAAUUCUAACAUUCAUACUUUGAGUAAAUUUUAUGUGAGAGGUUUUGUUGUCAAGAUCAAGUCUGAGAGCAGUCUUUAUUCGGGCCUUUAAUUGAGUUACCAAGUGAUAAAGGGGACAUUGUCUUCAACAAUAACCCUACAAUAAACAUGUUUUGUACAAUAAAUAUAUGACAAUUUCUUAAAAGCAAUUUCUUUGGCAAUCAAGACAAUAUGGCUUGUGUAUGGAGUUAUAUGAUGGUCUGGAUUAAUCCAGUAUUAAAUCUCUGGUUAUUACAGAAA